RNAcentral lists this ribosomal RNA (200 nucleotides) under uncultured bacterium. Its description in RNAcentral is "partial 16S ribosomal RNA". It matches the Rfam family "Bacterial small subunit ribosomal RNA", at positions 524 to 723 of the family's 1533-position model. The record is from RNAcentral.
UACGGAGGGUGCAAGCGUUAUCCGGAAUCACUGGGUUUAAAGGGUGCGUAGGCGGUUACGUAAGUCAGAGGUGAAAGGUCACAGCUUAACUGUGAGAUGGCCUUUGAAACUGCGUAACUUGAAUCAGAUAGAGGUUAGUGGAAUGCGACAUGUAGCGGUGAAAUGCAUAGAUAUGUCGUGGAAUACCGAUUGCGAAGGCA